AGCGAACGCUGGCGGCAGGCUUAACACAUGCAAGUCGAGCGCCCCGCAAGGGGAGCGGCAGACGGGAGAGUAACACGUGGGAACAUACCUUUUGGUUCGGAACAACUGAGGGAAACUUCAGCUAAUACCGGAUAAGCCCUUACGGGGAAAGAUUUAUCGCCGAAAGAUUGGCCCGCGUCUGAUUAGCUAGUUGGUGAGGUAACGGCUCACCAAGGCGACGAUCAGUAGCUGGUCUGAGGGGAUGAUCAGCCUCACUGGGACUGAGACACGGCCCAGACUCCUACGGGAGGCAGCAGUGGGGAAUAUUGGACAAUGGGGGCAACCCUGAUCCAGCCAUGCCGCGUGAGUGAUGAAGGCCUUAGGGUUGUAAAGCUCUUUUGCCCGGGAAGAUAAUGACGGUACCGGGAGAAUAAGCCCCGGCUAACUUCGUG
Molecule: ribosomal RNA, 431 nt
Filed under: uncultured bacterium
Lineage: Bacteria
Description: partial 16S ribosomal RNA
Rfam family: Bacterial small subunit ribosomal RNA
Source: RNAcentral